This 506-nucleotide ribosomal RNA is filed under the name uncultured bacterium. RNAcentral's name for it is "partial 16S ribosomal RNA". It matches the Rfam family "Bacterial small subunit ribosomal RNA", at positions 29 to 523 of the family's 1533-position model. The record is from RNAcentral.
AGUGAACGCUGGCGGUAGGCCUAACACAUGCAAGUCGAACGGCAGUACAGGAGAGCUUGCUCUCUGGGUGGCGAGUGGCGGACGGGUGAGGAAUACAUCGGAAUCUACUCUGUCGUGGGGGAUAACGUAGGGAAACUUACGCUAAUACCGCAUACGACCUACGGGUGAAAGCAGGGGACCUUCGGGCCUUGCGCGAUUGAAUGAGCCGAUGUCGGAUUAGCUAGUUGGCGGGGGAAAGGCCCACCAAGGCGACGAUCCGUAGCUGGCCUGAGAGGAUGAUCAGCCACACUGGAACUGAGACACGGGCCAGACUCCUAGGGGAGGCAGCAGUGGGGAAUAUUGGACAAUGGGCGCAAGCCUGAUCCAGCCAUACCGCGUGGGUGAAGAAGGCCUUCGGGUUGUAAAGCCCUUUUGUUGGGAAAGAAAUCCAGCUGGCUAAUACCCGGUUGGGAUGACGGUACCCAAAGAAUAAGCACCGGCUAACUUCGUGCCAGCAGCCGCCGUAA